Molecule: long non-coding RNA, 589 nt
Filed under: Pongo abelii (Sumatran orangutan)
Lineage: Eukaryota; Metazoa; Chordata; Mammalia; Primates; Hominidae
Description: lincRNA
Source: RNAcentral
GAUGCCCACCUCUCAUCACAGGCCCAUGCUGGGGCCAUGCGCACAGAUUUCUUGGAAUGACUGGCCCACAGACUCCAACACUGGAUCACAGGCCCACGCUGGGGCCAUGCGCACGGAUUACCUGGAAUGACUGGCCCACAGACUCCAUCACUGAAUCACAGGCCCACACUGGGGCCAUGAGCACGGAUUACCUGGAAUGACUGGCUCACAGACUCCAUCACUGGAUCACAGGCCCACGCUGGGGCCAUGCGCACGGAUUACCUGGAAUGACUGGCCCACAGACUCCAUCACUGGGGGAUGUUUGAUGAGAGAGACAAAGUGAGAAGGCGAGUUAAAUACGUUUUGAUGAAGAUAGACAGAUCUUCACUCUUGUUGCCCAGGCUGGAGUACAAUAGUGCGAUCUCAGUUCACCACAACCUCUGCCUCCCGGGUUCAAGCGAUUCUCCUGCCUCAGCCUCCUGAGUAGCUGGGAUUACAGAGCCUGACUUACUCAUUGAAACCAUGGCUGCUUGGACCCAGGCUCUCCAAAUGAGGUAAUGAAUGUGCAAACACUUUGGGGGGAAAAUAAGUGCCUGACACCUGACCUAAA